Molecule: long non-coding RNA, 360 nt
Organism: Stegodyphus dumicola
Lineage: Eukaryota; Metazoa; Arthropoda; Arachnida; Araneae; Eresidae
Source: RefSeq, a predicted model, not a curated record
GCCAUUUCAAGCGAGGACAGUCGUAACAAUGGAUACAGCUCCUUUGCCAAAAGUGUCUGUAAAUUUGCUUUAAGAGUGUAAUGCUGUAACGUAGUUUUAUUUAUUACGUACUGCUAACACAAUGAAAGCUGAGGCGUUACAUGAUAGUUCAAAAUUAUCAGAUUUUUAUAACUGCAAGAAGUUCCCGAAGAUGCUGUUAAUGUCCUAAAAGGGUAAAGGCAAAGCAAGUAUUUUAGCAUCAGGUUGUUAUUUGAAAAAAAAAAAAAAAAAAAAAAAAAAAAAUCCAAAUUCUGCACUUCUAAUAUUUGCUAAAUGUAAGUAUUGAGGAAUUUUGAUAUGCUUUGCACUAACUUUCAUUUU